UACGUAGGGUGCGAGCGUUGUCCGGAAUUACUGGGCGUAAAGCGUGCGCAGGCGGCUUCGCAAGUCAGGCGUGAAAUCCCCGGGCUUAACCUGGGAAUGGCGUCUGAAACUACGGAGCUGGAGUGUGGCAGAGGGAGGUAGAAUUCCACGUGUAGCGGUGAAAUGCGUAGAUAUGUGGAGGAACACCGAUGGCGAAGGCAGCCCCCUGGGCCAACACUGACGCUCAGGCACGAAAGCGUGGGGAGCAAACAGG
Molecule: ribosomal RNA, 253 nt
Filed under: uncultured bacterium
Lineage: Bacteria
Description: partial 16S ribosomal RNA
Rfam family: Bacterial small subunit ribosomal RNA
Source: RNAcentral